UACGAAGGGGGCGAGCGUUGUCCGGAUUUAUUGGGCGUAAAGAGCGUGUAGGCGGCCUGGAAGGUCAGCUGUGAAAACUCGAGGCUCAACCUCGAGACGUCGGUUGAAACCACCUGGCUAGAGUCCGGAAGAGGAGAGUGGAAUUCCCGGUGUAGCGGUGAAAUGCGCAGAUAUCGGGAAGAACACCCGUGGCGAAGGCGGCUCUCUGGGACGGUACUGACGCUGAGACGCGAAAGCGUGGGGAGCGAACAGG
RNAcentral lists this ribosomal RNA (253 nucleotides) under uncultured bacterium. Its description in RNAcentral is "partial 16S ribosomal RNA". It matches the Rfam family "Bacterial small subunit ribosomal RNA", at positions 524 to 776 of the family's 1533-position model. The record is from RNAcentral.